AUCAAACUUAUAGGAAAAUUUGGUAGUUUUCUAUGUUGGUUCUGGGUUGGUGUCAUCUGAGGUCCUCGGAGGGGUUGGCAUCUUCUCUUCUCAGGUGUCUGGCUCCAGACUGAAGCUUUA
This is a long non-coding RNA of Sinocyclocheilus rhinocerous, 120 nucleotides long. RefSeq lists it as uncharacterized. Lineage: Eukaryota; Metazoa; Chordata; Actinopteri; Cypriniformes; Cyprinidae. The transcript has 3 exons. The record is from RefSeq and is a predicted model, not a curated record.